Molecule: non-coding RNA, 148 nt
Filed under: Nomascus leucogenys (northern white-cheeked gibbon)
Lineage: Eukaryota; Metazoa; Chordata; Mammalia; Primates; Hylobatidae
Source: Rfam by way of RNAcentral
GCUGGGUGUGAUGGUGCAUGCCUGUAGUCCCAGUUACUCGGGAGGCUGAGGUGGGAGGAUUGCUUGAACACAGGAGGUCAAGGCUGGAGUGAGCUGUGACUGCACCACUGCACUCUAGCCUGGGUGACAGGGCAAGAUCCUGCCUCUU